GCGCGAGUGCCGGAAUUGGUAGACGGACCGGGUUUAGGUCCCGGGGCCUUCGGGCGUGAGGGUUCGAGUCCCUCCUCGCGCA
Molecule: transfer RNA, 82 nt
Filed under: Streptomyces bathyalis
Lineage: Bacteria; Bacillati; Actinomycetota; Actinomycetes; Kitasatosporales; Streptomycetaceae
Description: tRNA-Leu
Rfam family: tRNA
About the family: Transfer RNA (tRNA) molecules are approximately 80 nucleotides in length. Their secondary structure includes four short double-helical elements and three loops (D, anti-codon, and T loops).
Source: RNAcentral